UGCAUGCUUGUAAAAAACUCCAGACAACUUAGAGGCUCAGGACCCUUUCUAAAGCCCAAAGCCCCAGCACAAGACUCUACCCUGAGAGGCCCCACUUCAGCUAGAACCCCUGGCAGAUCUGUAACCCAUGCCUCAGGGCAAGCAAACCCCAGGCUCUACUGUCCCAUCCUUGUGAGGGGCUAAGAGCACCUGCAGAAACCUUCAACUCUCUGACCUG
This 217-nucleotide long non-coding RNA is filed under the name Homo sapiens (human). RNAcentral describes it as "HSALNT0006151". Lineage: Eukaryota; Metazoa; Chordata; Mammalia; Primates; Hominidae. The record is from RNAcentral.